Cyprinus carpio carpio is the source of this 333-nucleotide long non-coding RNA. NCBI's taxonomy places the organism in Eukaryota, Metazoa, Chordata, Actinopteri, Cypriniformes, Cyprinidae. The record is from Ensembl.
UGGAUAAAGGAAGACAAUUUAAUUUGAUACAUUUAAAUAUGAAAAACAGAAACAAAGCCAUUUGGGUUUGUGUUAUGUUGGGUUGUUGUGGUUUGUAGGGAGAAGUGGUAAUAUUUUAACCCCUUGAUAGACUGGAGAUGUUUGUACAAGGGUUGUAGUAUUUUGCAGGGGUUAUGACAUCAGAGAACUGUGAACAUGCAAAUGUGUUGUUAAAUGAUUGAAAUGUUAACCUAAAAUUUACUUUCAAGUAAAUAUUGUGCCUCAAAAACCCAAAAGAACCCCUUAUCUACUGAUUCAUUAUUUUGCAGUGUCAUCAUUUAGUAGAAUAUAUAG